Non-coding RNA from Lolium perenne, 1755 nucleotides. The record is from RefSeq and is a predicted model, not a curated record. Lineage: Eukaryota; Viridiplantae; Streptophyta; Magnoliopsida; Poales; Poaceae.
ACUUCGCGCGAUAUUUUUCAUCUACAGAUAAGAUUAGAGACAGCCCUAGAAAAUUUCCCCAUUCUAUCCUCUUCUCCACGCACCGCCGCCGCCCUCCUCCCACUUCCUCACAAUUGUCGCCGCCCUCCUGUGCCGCCAGCCUCCCUCUCCUUCGACCUCCAGAUCCAGCUGCGGCCGCUGGCCACCGGAUCCAUCCACGACCGUGCGCAACCAGAUCCAAUCGCGCCGGUCGCCUAGUUCCCAUCUACGUCAGCGAGCUCCACCCAGCUCCCUUCUCCGAAAUCCACCGCCCAACUCCUCUCCCUUUUGUCCAAAAUCAGUGUUUCAGCUUCCGUAUUAUCUUUUUGUGAGGAAGUUUUCUAUUGCUAUUGAUAUAUCAUUACAUAUGCAGAUACGUGAAAUCACUCAGGAGGUAGCAGCAGCAGUUUCAUUUUGGUGUGUUUUGUAGGCCUCGUCAGAAAAGCAACGAAUAAUCUUAUAAAGCUGGUGCAGAUGAUGUGUUCGCAAAAAGACCGCUAAAUGUGAAGAAUGUCAAUAGCUUACUGGUACUACUCUAGAACAUAAUUCCUGGCUAACAUGUAUUUGUGUUGUAUUUCUUAUGCUAGUCCUAUUUUGGUCUCUAUCAUGUUAGGGUUCUUUGUUAGUAUUUAACUGUGAUGGAGGAGAUGCUUCAUCGUCUUAUUAAGGUGUCACUAUUUUGUAAUUGUACCAUUCUCUUCAGGCCGGAGACAUCAUGAUGACAUAUGGUGGAAUGUCCAAGAAACCUGAGAAGGUUUCUUUCUAAUUCAUCUUUCAUUAUAUCCUGCUUAUUGCUACAUAUAGUUAUUGAAAUGCAAUUAUUUGAAUUUCUUCAUAAGAAAGAAUGUGUGUUUAUAUAAAAGAUAGCGUGCUUUCUUUUUAUCCUUACAUAUUGCCAUCUUUUUGAAUAAGAAACUGUUCCUGAAUUUGGCUCUAAAGAGUAUUGCAUAUACUACACAUGGCUUGUUAUUUCACUGUUAAAAAACUUUUGCUGCCAAACAGGCUCUAAACUGCAUUGUUUUUAUAUAUACAUGGCUUCUGCUAUGUAGUUAUAUAUACAGAACAUCUGAAAUGUCUUCGCGCAAUGAAGUUUUCUGGAUGAUCAUGCUGUGAGAGUAAGUUUGUAAAUUUUAUAUAAUGCUGGUCCUUAAAAGCUAUAUACAAAUUUAUAUAGUUAAUCUGUUGGUGCAGCCUGGUAAGGUAAACUAUGAUAACGAUACAAGCUCAUUGCAAAAAGAAGGUUUCUAAGUUGGAAAAUAAGUUUGUAUUUUUAAUUACUCUUACAACACUCCAGAAAAAGGAUAGUUGCAUCAAGUACUCUGUAGAUAGUGAUGCUUUUUCAUGUUUACAAGUGCAAGGGUUGUACAUUAUUGACAAUUUCUUUUUGUAAAUAUCUUGUGUUGUUUCAUUUUGAAAGAUGUUCUCACAUGGUCUCAUUUACGUGCACAUGACUUUGUAGGGGAACACAUAUCCAUCCCAUGUUAGCUUGGAUGCUGCUGCUAUGGAUGAUCUCUUCGGUCAUGGUAACAUUUAGGUAGAACAAUGGUGAGAGAAAUUGUGCUUCCGGAGGAGGAUCUCUUUAGUGUACCCGUACUUCAACUAAUUAUUGACACUCCUAUGUUAUGUUGGAUCUCUUGUUGGAUUCAGUGUUAGUGUAAUUUGAUGGAUGGCAAAUAAUGAAUAUAUGUACCUGCACUUGGGCAAGUCUGUAUAUGCCAAUUAUCAUUUGUUGGAACA